GAGUUUGAUCCUGGCUCAGAUUGAACGCUGGCGGCAUGCCUUACGCAUGCAAGUCGAACGGCAGCACGGGUGCUUGCACCUGGUGGCGAGUGGCGAACGGGUGAGUAAUACAUCGGAACAUGUCCUGUAGUGGGGGAUAGCCCGGCGAAAGCCGGAUUAAUACCGCAUACGAUCUGAGGAUGGAAGCGGGGGACCUUCGGGCCUCGCGCUAUAGGGUUGGCCGAUGGCUGAUUAGCUAGUUGGUGGGGUAAAGGCCUACCAAGGCGACGAUCAGUAGCUGGUCUGAGAGGACGACCAGCCACACUGGGACUGAGACACGGCCCAGACUCCUACGGGAGGCAGCAGUGGGGAAUUUUGGACAAUGGGCGAAAGCCUGAUCCAGCAAUGCCGCGUGUGUGAAGAAGGCCUUCGGGUUGUAAAGCACUUUUGUCCGGAAAGAAAUCCUUGGUUCUAAUAUAGCCGGGGGAUGACGGUACCGGAAGAAUAAGCACCGGCUAACUACGUGCCAGCAGCCGCGGUAAUACGUAGGGUGCAAGCGUUAAUCGGAAUUACUGGGCGUAAAGCGUGCGCAGGCGGUUUGCUAAGACCGAUGUGAAAUCCCCGGGCUCAACCUGGGAACUGCAUUGGUGACUGGCAGGCUAGAGUAUGGCAGAGGGGGUAGAAUUCCACGUGUAGCAGUGAAAUGCGUAGAGAUGUGGAGGAAUACCGAUGGC
RNAcentral lists this ribosomal RNA (713 nucleotides) under uncultured Burkholderia sp. RNAcentral describes it as "bacterial SSU rRNA". It matches the Rfam family "Bacterial small subunit ribosomal RNA", at positions 9 to 716 of the family's 1533-position model. Lineage: Bacteria; Pseudomonadati; Pseudomonadota; Betaproteobacteria; Burkholderiales; Burkholderiaceae. The record is from RNAcentral.